This is a long non-coding RNA of Paramacrobiotus metropolitanus, 2381 nucleotides long. RefSeq lists it as uncharacterized. NCBI's taxonomy places the organism in Eukaryota, Metazoa, Tardigrada, Eutardigrada, Parachela, Macrobiotidae. The record is from RefSeq and is a predicted model, not a curated record. The transcript has 5 exons.
CCUGAGAAAUAGUGCGAAAACCACCGCGAACCGUAAUUUUUAUGGGUGAGCCUGUCUACUUACUGUAGACGAAAACUGUGUUACCUACCGAAGGAUAGAUUUUAACAUGAGGAGAGAGAAGUGGCACGGUUGUAGCCGCACAAAACCGUGGAUUCAGCGCAUUGUCUCCGGUGAACGUGAGGCCUCGUAUUGUCUACGGAAUGAUCCACCCAUUCAGUGUCCAGCUGAUUAGGCAGCCGCCUAAUGAAUAACGCGGCUGACCGUGUACAUAUGAUUUUUAUUAUUACGUAACUGAAGCUGGCUAGCGACUCCAACCGGAUGCCCUACAGCUGGGCAAGUCAGUCAAAAAGUUGCAGCCAGCAACCAGUAUGCAGUGCCGGCGGCAGACCGGAAGUCAUCGAUUAUCACAUGCAUAUAUAUUCCAAAUUGCUGUAAUAUGGACGCAAGUACUUGUACAAUACAUCAGGACCAGAAGACUGCCUGGUUAACGACAUUGUUAUCACAUCCGAGACAGCUGCUGCCGAAGUUACCGGGGAUGCCCCCAACAUUUGAAUAAGGAUGAAGAAACUUUACGACCUUUGCGCAAUAUAUGGAAAAACUAUUAUACAUAAUUAUGUCGUCCAAGCGGCUCUGUUAUACCAGCAUGAUCGCUUAAAGGUUUUCUUGGUUUUGGUGCUCUGCUUUCAGUGUAGAAGAAGUUUACUAUCAGGAUCAAAAUUUAACCCUGAGAUGUACAUACUUUUUUUCAAAUAUACCCUCGUCAAAAAGUAUUUUCUAAAGUACAUCAAAAUGAUCGAACACCUCCGCAAUCUAUCACAAAAUAUAUCCCCGGCAUAGUUUUGGCAGCCGAGUAGAAAUCACGUUUUACAUCAACAUCAAAAUUUGUAUCUAAGUUAGCCGUCUAUGUUGGCGAUAGCAAAAGCAAAAUUUUAUUUUCUUAACCAAUAUGAAAUUAUCACCGUUCGAUGCAAAUAACAAUGUUAAGGUAAUUAAUCUAAAGCGAAAGCUUUGUCGGUCGACCGACAUUGGUCGCCUCGCCACAUAACCUAAAAAGCAAUUUCGAUCCAUGUGUGGCCGUUAUAGAGUAUCAAAGUUUUUCUGCAAACCUUGUUACGUAAUCAGUUAUGAAACACAUAGUUUCUGUGCAAGAACAAGAAGAUCGGUCGACCGACAAGAAUUAUUACCUCCAAAGCUAAAGUCGCAGAAGUCGCAAAAACGAAAAAGCAAAAGUCUUUUGAAGCAAACUGCGCCAAAUUAACUAGUUGGAAGCAAAGCUUUAACGACAAAGUUUAAAGAAGUACGCGAAACUGCACACGCGGUGACUGCAAUACUUUUGCUGCAGACUACGCUAACUACAGGCCACUUUUAUGCUGCUUCUGAUUGGCUGUAAGGCAAUUUCAAUGUUCAACCCCAGAUCACGUUCAGCGCCGUUGCGCUCAAAUUGAUUUCGACAGCCAGUUUUAGUAACGGCGAUUUUCGACUUUCUCGCAGUCUUACCACGGUGUUUCCAGGCGAUUUGUGAUUUUGUUUUGAUCUCUACGAUUUUUUGGUUUUAUGGCUGUCGACAGCCAAAUUAGAUUUUAAAACGUUAAUGGUCAAUGCAAGCACUGGAAGUAUUGCUGUUUUGUGCGUGGAGCUUGUCAGGCACGGCAAGUUAUGAAAGCAGGUGCAGCACUUAACCCAGUCUGCACUGAUGUGAGGACCCACACCAAUGUUGGAGAAGUCCUAAGAUCCUUAUAAAGCACUGCGUCGCUGGACGAUUGUGCAUGACGACAUGCAGUAAAGCAACAGGGCAGAUGAAUUAUUGCUCUAUGCAGCUCCAUGGCCGGAACGCAAAUUUAGCGGGAAAUGCGUGGAUGUCGACAUCCAUCAUUGUACUUGUUAUCCUGGUUUUAAUUAGCUGUUGAUGCAUUUAGUAGCCGCUUUUGCUGUCCAUGCUGGCAUUUUGGAAUUUUUAGCACUCUGUCAGUUCACCGUUUACGCUCCUGACGCAUUAUCCAGUUUGAUUUUUUGGUCUGGAUUUUUUGGUCUGGUUGGUGUUUUCAUGAGAAAGUAUGUCUCGGAUGUUGGUUUUUUUAUGUAGUACCAGUUAUGUGGUAUAUGUCGAAAUAAAUACAAAAUGAUGUUCUAUAUCCAUAUCUAAAUGUUUCAUAUUCGUAAGUAUUAUAAAACAAGGAGAUCAUCUGUAAUAUCUAAGUCUAAUUCAAAAGUUACCAUUAAAGUAUAUGGUUUUUCUGACGAGGGAUACAAAAAAUAGUGCUCGCAUAACGAAGUGCAGGUAAGUGAUAACGUACAGAUAGAGUGAUGCAGGAUGUAAAUUUUUCAUCAUUUGUCUUUGAUUUCGCACCGUUUUAUAGAAUAUGGUACGGUGGUCGCACACU